This 426-nucleotide ribosomal RNA is filed under the name uncultured bacterium. Its description in RNAcentral is "bacterial SSU rRNA". It matches the Rfam family "Bacterial small subunit ribosomal RNA", at positions 356 to 774 of the family's 1533-position model. The record is from RNAcentral.
GGGGAAUUUUGGACAAUGGGCGCAAGCCUGAUCCAGCCAUUCCGCGUGCAGGACGAAGGCCUUCGGGUUGUAAACUGCUUUUGUACGGAACGAAAAGGCUCUGGCUAAUACCUGGGGCUCAUGACGGUACCGUAAGAAUAAGCACCGGCUAACUACGUGCCAGCAGCCGCGGUAAUACGUAGGGUGCAAGCGUCAAUGGGAAUUACUGGGCGUAAAGCGUGCGCAGGCGGUUAUGUAAGACAGAGGUGAAAUCCCCGGGCUCAACCUGGGAACUGCCUUUGUGACUGCAUCGCUGGAGUACGGAAGGGGGGGAUGGAAUUCCGCGUGUAGCAGUGAAAUGCGUAGAUAUGCGGAGGAACACCGAUGGCGAAGGCAAUCCCCUGGGCCUGUACUGACGCUCAUGCACGAAAGCGUGGGGAGCAAACA